GUCACGAUUGAAUAAGAAGUUCCCUGGUGUGAUUUAUACCGGAGUGUUGGUUCAAGUCCAGCUCGUGACG
RNAcentral lists this transfer RNA (70 nucleotides) under Camellia sinensis var. assamica. RNAcentral describes it as "tRNA-Ile". RNAcentral also lists the same sequence under 1 other name. Lineage: Eukaryota; Viridiplantae; Streptophyta; Magnoliopsida; Ericales; Theaceae. The record is from RNAcentral.